Molecule: small RNA, 46 nt
Filed under: Pseudomonas aeruginosa UCBPP-PA14
Lineage: Bacteria; Pseudomonadati; Pseudomonadota; Gammaproteobacteria; Pseudomonadales; Pseudomonadaceae
Description: mini-ykkC.2008-01-16 RNA
Source: RNAcentral
AGCGCGCCGACGACGGCGCCUGCGCACUGGAAAACGGGACGGCCCG